GCUCGGACCGCGACCCCAG
RNAcentral lists this ribosomal RNA (19 nucleotides) under Ampelocalamus actinotrichus. Its description in RNAcentral is "partial 26S ribosomal RNA". The record is from RNAcentral. Lineage: Eukaryota; Viridiplantae; Streptophyta; Magnoliopsida; Poales; Poaceae.